Molecule: long non-coding RNA, 637 nt
Organism: Cygnus olor (mute swan)
Lineage: Eukaryota; Metazoa; Chordata; Aves; Anseriformes; Anatidae
Exons: 3
Source: RefSeq, a predicted model, not a curated record
UCAAGGCACAUCGUCUUUAGAGAGCAGAUGCUGAUGUCACAGUUGAAACACAGCAAAAGAAAAAGUUCUUUCUAACUGUAGAUCAAGCACAAAAGUUCCAUAAGCAAAUCCCACUCUCUAGACACUGUCUGAUAAAGAAAUCUGUGCUACUUUUGGUUAGGAUAAUCCUGAAAUCUUGCUCACAGGUGGCCACAUAUAAUCAAACAUUACGGGCUCAGAGCAAUGGAGACAGUUACCAUUCUGCUUCAUGAGAAUCACCCUCUUCUUCUCUGAAGGUUUUCUUCAGGUUGGGGAUUUUGAUUCAACUUUCAGCACACCUAGAAGAUCUCCAUAUAAAGUUUUGGAAGAUUUCCUAAUUAACUCAAAGUUGGUGCUCUUUGGAAGUAACCACACUUCCAAGACCCAGCCAGUAACCCAUAUCAAUCAGUGAUAUAAUAAAGGCAAGUGCUAAGGUACCCUCUUCGCUCUUCUACAACAGUAAUAUCUUGCAAAACUGAAAUAUAAAAAGCUAACGUGGUCUGCUAGGUCCACUGUGAAGAUUAAUACAUUACCUCUGAGCUCAUGUAGAACAGAGUCGACUCUUCGCCUUAAUUCUAAGUCAAGUGGAACAAUCUUAGUUGUCCUAGUGUGAAGUGUA